Molecule: signal recognition particle RNA, 264 nt
Filed under: Armatimonadota bacterium
Lineage: Bacteria; Bacillati; Armatimonadota
Description: Armatimonadetes bacterium (activated sludge metagenome) signal recognition particle sRNA large type
Rfam family: Bacterial large signal recognition particle RNA
About the family: The signal recognition particle (SRP) is a universally conserved ribonucleoprotein involved in the co-translational targeting of proteins to membranes. Archaeal SRP consists of a 7S RNA and homologues of the eukaryotic SRP19 and SRP54 proteins. In most bacteria, the SRP consists of a 4.5S RNA and the Ffh protein (a homologue of the eukaryotic SRP54 protein).
Source: RNAcentral
UCGCGCUAAGUGGGGAUGUAGCGGCGCCCUGUACCUGCAAUCCGCUAUAGCAGGGCCGAAUUCCGGCCCGCGGCGCGCUCUUGUGCAAAACGACGAUGCGCGACGGCGUUGAUCGCCGGGGCCUGCGCAAUGGAGCGACGUUGAACCCCGCCAGGUCCGGAAGGAAGCAACGGUAAGGCGUAUGCCCCAUGUGCCGCAGUUACCCCGGAAGGAGUCGCACGCGACCGUACGCUGCGGAAGGGUUCGUCAACGGUCGGUGCGCGA